RNAcentral lists this ribosomal RNA (253 nucleotides) under uncultured bacterium. RNAcentral's name for it is "partial 16S ribosomal RNA". It matches the Rfam family "Bacterial small subunit ribosomal RNA", at positions 524 to 776 of the family's 1533-position model. The record is from RNAcentral.
GACGUAGGGCGCGAGCGUUGUCCGGAUUCAUUGGGCGUAAAGGGUGCGUAGGCGGCGCGGUAAGUCGGGUGUGAAAUCUCGGAGCUUAACUCCGAAACUGCAUUCGAUACUGCCGUGCUUGAGGACUGGAGAGGAGACUGGAAUUUACGGUGUAGCGGUGAAAUGCGUAGAUAUCGUAAGGAAGACCAGUGGCGAAGGCGGGUCUCUGGACAGUUCCUGACGCUGAGGCACGAAGGUCAGGGGAGCAAACGGG